CCUACGUGAGGCAGCAGUGGGGGAUAUUGCACAAUGGGGGAAACCCUGAUGCAGCGACGCCGCGUGUGGGAAGACGGUCCUCUGGAUUGUAAACCACUGUCCCCAGGGACGAAGAUGAUGGUACCUGGGGAGGAAGCUCCGGCUAACUACGUCCCAGCAGCCGCGGUAAUACGUAGGGAGCGAGCGUUGUCCGGAAUUACUGGGUGUAAAGGGAGCGUAGGCGGGACUGCAAGUUGGGUGUCAAAUCUACCGGCUCAACCGGUAGCCGCACUCAAAACUGCAGUUCUUGAGUGAAGUAGAGGCAGGCGGAAUUCCUAGUGUAGCGGUGAAAUGCGUAGAUAUUAGGAGGAACACCAGUGGCGAAGGCGGCCUGCUGGGCUUUUACUGACGCUGAGGCUCGAAAGUGUGGGGAGCAAACAGGAUUAGAUACCCGGGUAGUC
RNAcentral lists this ribosomal RNA (440 nucleotides) under uncultured bacterium. Its description in RNAcentral is "partial 16S ribosomal RNA". It matches the Rfam family "Bacterial small subunit ribosomal RNA", at positions 338 to 795 of the family's 1533-position model. The record is from RNAcentral.